Pteropus alecto (black flying fox) is the source of this 1021-nucleotide long non-coding RNA. RefSeq lists it as uncharacterized. The transcript is spliced from 5 exons. Lineage: Eukaryota; Metazoa; Chordata; Mammalia; Chiroptera; Pteropodidae. The record is from RefSeq and is a predicted model, not a curated record.
GCUAUAAACUAACAGCUUCCAAAGUAAGCUUUUCGAUUUUUCUGACUUGGAGUCACUGAGAACUAAAAACUGAUCUUUACUGGGACCUGGAGUCACUGAGAACUUGGAGUCACUGAGAACUAAAAACUGAUCUUUAUUGGGACUCUAAGGUUGCUCUAUAGCUUGUACCUGCCUUCAGGAUCUGAAGCUCUAUAGCUUGUACCUGCCUUCAGGAUCCACAAGCUCAAGCCUGAAGACUUGUUAUAAGCCUAGAACGAGGACUCAUCAUUCCAGCUGACCAUUUAUGGUAUAGCUCUUUUCAUGGAUAAACCUCUGUUUGGACUACUAAACACGUCUGAUGAAAUUCUGAGAUCAUCCAUGCCCUUAUUGGAGAAGCAACCAUUGCCGUGGAUAUCACAAAUGAAGUCAACAUCUUAGCAUCAAAAACUUGUUUUCUUGGAGGUUCCACCGAGAUACAGUUUGCACUGACCAUCCCCAUGGAUUUCCGUCUUCAGCCAAGGGCGGAACCCCUUGUGCCUUGCUGCUCACCUCCUGUCGAGUCCACAACGAUGUGAUGGCUGUUCAGUGACACCAGAUCAUUUCAAAUGAAUAUUAACUAAAUUUCUCCAUGAAAACUGCUCACCAUGGAACAGGAUAUUUCAUCCACUGGAAGAGACAUCAGAGGAAAACUGCUGCUCUUGACCUCACUGGAAGGCACCUUAUCAGGCAUCCCUAUUUAAGAUGCAUGGACUCCAAGAUUCUAAAACAACUUACUUGGGCUAUAACUUUUCAACAGAUACUGGAACAACACCAACAAGAGUGCUAGAAUGAUUAUUUGUUAGAUCCUGUUUCAUCUCACAGAGGAGUUUUAUACUUGUCUCUUAAUUGUUUAGGAACCUAUUAUAUUCAUUUAUAUUGAACAAAAGGAGGGACUGACAAUGUUGAACUUUACCUAAGCUCUGUGUUCUUUCCUGGAAAACAGUGAUGCUUAAGAAAUCUCCUGUGCUUAGGGCUGGGAAGGAUGGGGGUGGGUAGGGGAUAG